This 134-nucleotide small nucleolar RNA is filed under the name Meyerozyma guilliermondii ATCC 6260. RNAcentral's name for it is "Small nucleolar RNA snR80". It matches the Rfam family "Small nucleolar RNA snR80". The record is from Rfam by way of RNAcentral. Lineage: Eukaryota; Fungi; Ascomycota; Pichiomycetes; Serinales; Debaryomycetaceae.
GCAUGUUUGCCAACACUCUGGUGCCAAAUUUUUCUGUUUUUGGUUCCUAUUUUGGUGCAAACUAGAUUCACCACGGCGGUCUACUCACCGUGAUAUCCUUUGUGGAUAUGAUGGUCCAUUUCAUCCGCAUACAU